UACGUAGGGUGCAAGCGUUAUCCGGAAUUAUUGGGCGUAAAGAGCUCGUAGGCGGUUUGUCGCGUCUGCUGUGAAAACUGGGGGCUCAACCCCCAGCCUGCAGUGGGUACGGGCAGACUAGAGUGCGGUAGGGGAGAUUGGAAUUCCUGGUGUAGCGGUGGAAUGCGCAGAUAUCAGGAGGAACACCGAUGGCGAAGGCAGGUCACUGGGCCGCAACUGACGCUGAGGAGCGAAAGCAUGGGGAGCGAACAGG
This 253-nucleotide ribosomal RNA is filed under the name uncultured bacterium. Its description in RNAcentral is "partial 16S ribosomal RNA". It matches the Rfam family "Bacterial small subunit ribosomal RNA", at positions 524 to 776 of the family's 1533-position model. The record is from RNAcentral.